UUGCUGGCGACCGGCGCACGGGUGAGUAACACGUAUCCAACCUGCCCUUUACUCGGGGAUAGCCUUUCGAAAGAAAGAUUAAUACCCGAUAGCAUAAUGAUUCCGCAUGGUUUCAUUAUUAAAGGAUUCCGGUAAAGGAUGGGGAUGCGUUCCAUUAGGUUGUUGGUGAGGUAACGGCCCACCAAGCCUUCGAUGGAUAGGGGUUCUGAGAGGAAGGUCCCCCACAUUGGAACUGAGACACGGUCCAAACUCCUACGGGAGGCAGCAGUGAGGAAUAUUGGUCAAUGGGCGUUAGCCUGAACCAGCCAAGUAGCGUGAAGGAUGAAGGCUCUAUGGGUCGUAAACUUCUUUUAUAUAAGAAUAAAGUGCAGUAUGUAUACUGUUUUGUAUGUAUUAUAUGAAUAAGGAUCGGCUAACUCCGUGCCAGCAGCCGCGGUAAUACGGAGGAUCCGAGCGUUAUCCGGAUUUAUUGGGUUUAAAGGGAGCGUANGUGGACUGGUAAGUCAGUUGUGAAAGUUUGCGGCUCAACCGUAAAAUUGCAGUUGAUACUGUCAGUCUUGAGUACAGUAGAGGUGGGCGGAAUUCGUGGUGUAGCGGUGAAAUGCUUAGAUAUCACGAAGAACUCCGAUUGCGAAGGCAGCUCACUGGACUGCAACUGACACUGAUGCUCGAAAGUGUGGGUAUCAAACAGGAUUAGAUACCCUGGUAGUCCACACAGUAAACGAUGAAUACUCGCUGUUUGCGAUAUACAGUAAGCGGNCAAGCGAAAGCAUUNAAGUAUUCNNCCUGGGGAGUACGCCGGCAACGGUGAAACUCAAAGGAAUUGACGGGGGCCCGCACAAGCGGANGAACAUGUGGUUUAAUUCNAUGAUACGCGAGGAACCUUNNCCCGGGCUUAAAUNGCAGUGNAAUGAUGUGNAAACAUGUCAGUGANNCAUCACCA
RNAcentral lists this ribosomal RNA (943 nucleotides) under Bacteroides fragilis. RNAcentral's name for it is "bacterial SSU rRNA". It matches the Rfam family "Bacterial small subunit ribosomal RNA", at positions 85 to 1028 of the family's 1533-position model. RNAcentral also lists the same sequence under 2 other names. Lineage: Bacteria; Pseudomonadati; Bacteroidota; Bacteroidia; Bacteroidales; Bacteroidaceae. The record is from RNAcentral.